CAGCCGCCGCGGGAAUACGAAGGGUGCAAGCGUUACUCGGAAUUACUGGGCGUAAAGCGUGCGUAGGUGGUGGUUUAAGUCCGUUGUGAAAGCCCUGGGCUCAACCUGGGAAUUGCAGUGGAUACUGGGUCACUAGAGUGUGGUAGAGGAUAGUGGAAUUUCCGGUGUAGCAGUGAAAUGCGUAGAGAUCGGAAGGAACAUCUGUGGCGAAGGCGACUAUCUGGGCCAACACUGACACUGAGGCACGAAAGCGUGGGGAGCAAACAGGAUUAGAUACCCCGGUAGUCCCUGUCUCUUAUAU
Molecule: ribosomal RNA, 301 nt
Filed under: uncultured bacterium
Lineage: Bacteria
Description: partial 16S ribosomal RNA
Rfam family: Bacterial small subunit ribosomal RNA
Source: RNAcentral